Lonchura striata (white-rumped munia) is the source of this 868-nucleotide long non-coding RNA. Lineage: Eukaryota; Metazoa; Chordata; Aves; Passeriformes; Estrildidae. The record is from Ensembl.
UGUCCCCGAGUUCUGGCGGGAGCAGCGCGGUGUCCCCAAAUCCUGGCGGGACAUCCAGGGUGUCCCCGAGUUCUGGCGGGAGCAGCGCGGUGUCCUCAAAUCCUGGCGGGACAUCCAGGGUGUCCCCGAGUUCUGGCGGGAGCAGCGCGGUGUCCCCGAGUUCUGGCGGGACAUGCGGAGUGUCCCCGAGUUCUGGCGGGAGCAGCGCGGUGUCCCCAAAUCCUGUCACAACAUCCAGAGUGUCCCCAAAUCCUGUCACAACAUCCAGAGUGUCCCCGAGUUCUGGCGGGACAUCCAGAGUGUCCCCGAGUUCUGGCGGGACAUCCCCAAUAUCCCCAAAUCCUGGCGGGAUAUCCAGAGUGUCCCCAAAUCCUGUCACGACAUCCAGAGUGUCCCCAAAUCCUGUCACGACAUUCCCAAUAUCGCCAAAUCCUGCCGCGACCCCCUCGGUGUCCCCAAAUCCUGUCGCGACCCCCUCGGUGUCCCCAAAUCCUGGCGGGACCCGCCCCGAGCGCUGCACGCUGCUCUAGGGGCGCGACCCCGAAUCCGCCGGAUUUUCACCCAAAAACGGGCAAAAAGUGGCGAAGUUUUGUACCAAAAACGGGCAAAAAAUGUUCAAGUUUUGUACUAAAAAUGAGCGGUAAAUGUUCGAUUUUUGUACCAAAAAUGAGCGGUGAAUGUUCGAUUUUUGUACCAAAAAUGAGCGAUGAAUUUUCGAUUUUUGUACCAAAAAUGAGCGGUAAAUGUUCGAUUUUUGUACCAAAAAUGAGCGGUGAAUGUUCGAUUUUUGUACCAAAAAUGAGCGAUGAAUGUUCAAUUUUUGUACCAAAAAUGAGUGAUGAAUGUUCAAUUUUGUACCAAAAAUGAG